RNAcentral lists this ribosomal RNA (301 nucleotides) under uncultured bacterium. RNAcentral describes it as "partial 16S ribosomal RNA". It matches the Rfam family "Bacterial small subunit ribosomal RNA", at positions 509 to 807 of the family's 1533-position model. The record is from RNAcentral.
CAGUAGCCACGGUAAUACGGAGGGUGCAAGCGUUAAUCGGAAUUACUGGGCGUAAAGCACGCGUAGGCGGUUCGUUAAGUCUGUUGUGAAAGCCCCGGGCUCAACCUGGGAAUGGCAAUGGAUACUGGCGAGCUAGAGUGUGUCAGAGGAUGGUGGAAUUCCCGGUGUAGCGGUGAAAUGCGUAGAGAUCGGGAGGAACAUCAGUGGCGAAGGCGGCCAUCUGGGACAACACUGACGCUGAGGCACGAAAGCGUGGGGAGCACGCAGGAUUAGAUACCCGUGUAGUCCCUGUCUCUUAUAC